RNAcentral lists this ribosomal RNA (394 nucleotides) under uncultured bacterium. Its description in RNAcentral is "bacterial SSU rRNA". It matches the Rfam family "Bacterial small subunit ribosomal RNA", at positions 30 to 424 of the family's 1533-position model. The record is from RNAcentral.
AUUGAACGCUGGCGGCAGGCCUAACACAUGCAAGUCGAGCGGUAGAGAGGUGCUUGCAUCUCUUGAGAGCGGCGGACGGGUGAGUAAUGCCUAGGAAUCUGCCUAGUGGUGGGGGAUAACGUUCGGAAACGGACGCUAAUACCGCAUACGUCCUACGGGAGAAAGCGGGGGGAUCUUCGGACCUCGCGCCAUUAGAUGAGCCUAGGUCGGAUUAGCUAGUUGGUGAGGUAAUGGCUCACCAAGGCGACGAUCCGUAACUGGUCUGAGAGGAUGAUCAGUCACACUGGAACUGAGACACGGUCCAGACUCCUACGGGAGGCAGCAGUGGGAAUAUUGGACAAUGGGCGCAAGCCUGAUCCAGCAAUGCCGCGUGCAGGAUGAAGGCCUUCGGGUU